AGAGUUUGAUCAUGGCUCAGGACGAACGCUGGCGGCGUGCCUAAUACAUGCAAGUUGAGCGCUGAAGGUUGGUACUUGUACCAACUGGAUGAGCAGCGAACGGGUGAGUAACGCGUGGGGAAUCUGCCUUUGAGCGGGGGACAACAUUUGGAAACGAAUGCUAAUACCGCAUAAAAACUUUAAACACAAGUUUUAAGUUUGAAAGAUGCAAUUGCAUCACUCAAAGAUGAUCCCGCGUUGUAUUAGCUAGUUGGUGAGGUAAAGGCUCACCAAGGCGAUGAUACAUAGCCGACCUGAGAGGGUGAUCGGCCACAUUGGGACUGAGACACGGCCCAAACUCCUACGGGAGGCAGCAGUAGGGAAUCUUCGGCAAUGGACGAAAGUCUGACCGAGCAACGCCGCGUGAGUGAAGAAGGUUUUCGGAUCGUAAAACUCUGUUGGUAGAGAAGAACGUUGGUGAGAGUGGAAAGCUCAUCAAGUGACGGUAACUACCCAGAAAGGGACGGCUAACUACGUGCCAGCAGCCGCGGUAAUACGUAGGUCCCGAGCGUUGUCCGGAUUUAUUGGGCGUAAAGCGAGCGCAGGUGGUUUAUUAAGUCUGGUGUAAAAGGCAGUGGCUCAACCAUUGUAUGCAUUGGAAACUGGUAGACUUGAGUGCAGGAGAGGAGAGUGGAAUUCCAUGUGUAGCGGUGAAAUGCGUAGAUAUAUGGAGGAACACCGGUGGCGAAAGCGGCUCUCUGGCCUGUAACUGACACUGAGGCUCGAAAGCGUGGGGAGCAAACAGGAUUAGAUACCCUGGUAGUCCACGCCGUAAACGAUGAGUGCUAGAUGUAGGGAGCUAUAAGUUCUCUGUAUCGCAGCU
This 862-nucleotide ribosomal RNA is filed under the name uncultured bacterium. Its description in RNAcentral is "bacterial SSU rRNA". It matches the Rfam family "Bacterial small subunit ribosomal RNA", at positions 8 to 853 of the family's 1533-position model. The record is from RNAcentral.